GAGGGCGCUUACCACUUUGUGAUUCAUGACUGGGGUGAAGUCGUAACAAGGUAACCGUAGGGGAACCUGCGGUUGGAUCACCUCCUUACCUUAAAGAA
Molecule: ribosomal RNA, 98 nt
Filed under: Klebsiella aerogenes
Lineage: Bacteria; Pseudomonadati; Pseudomonadota; Gammaproteobacteria; Enterobacterales; Enterobacteriaceae
Also listed under: 18 other names
Description: partial 16S ribosomal RNA
Rfam family: Bacterial small subunit ribosomal RNA (bases 1-88)
Source: RNAcentral